CCCAGGAGGACAACCAUCUUCUCACC
RNAcentral lists this non-coding RNA (26 nucleotides) under Drosophila melanogaster (fruit fly). The record is from RNAcentral. Lineage: Eukaryota; Metazoa; Arthropoda; Insecta; Diptera; Drosophilidae.